CAUUGCCGUAUCCCUUGGGAACGCUUGGAUCGUGAUUAUUGCUUGUGUUUGACGUUUUUGCUGGUGCCAUUUUUCUCCUGAGCUCGGCUGGUUCAAUGCAGCAAACAUUGCACGCUUUGUUUCCUGCGGUGUUGUGCUAGUGCUAUGCUGUGCUGUACCGCAUAUAACCAUAGCAAGAAGCCUGUUGAAGAUGGUUAUGUAGUUUUUAUUAUACCAGAAAGAAAGCGUGACGGCUUGCGCAAGAAGCAGUGGCUGCACAACAUCGGCCAAAAGAACUUUGUUCUGACAAAGAACAGUGUUGUUUGCGAGCUGAUGCCUUCUGGUGGAGCUUUGUACGAGAACUACUGCUGCUUACCUGGUGCGACAACAUUGGACGAAUGCACAAGAAGCCCAGAGCGAGCAUCUAUAUAGCGCAAAAUAAACAUUUCCUCAUUUCACAA
Molecule: long non-coding RNA, 440 nt
Filed under: Dermacentor andersoni
Lineage: Eukaryota; Metazoa; Arthropoda; Arachnida; Ixodida; Ixodidae
Description: uncharacterized LOC126547859
Source: RNAcentral